This 816-nucleotide long non-coding RNA is filed under the name Astyanax mexicanus (Mexican tetra). RNAcentral describes it as "lncRNA (ENSAMXG00005017959.1)". The record is from RNAcentral. Lineage: Eukaryota; Metazoa; Chordata; Actinopteri; Characiformes; Acestrorhamphidae.
AGAGGAGAUCAGACGACUGAUCACACACCUUCAACAUGGAUUUCGACCUAGCUGCAGCUUGUGAUAAAGAGGGAGGUGAUGUGAAGAAGGCUGAAGGCCAGCAGGUGGAAGGAAUAUUUGGAUUUGGAAAGAAAGAUAAAGAGAAGACUGAAGAUAAGAAGAGCAUAGACAAGGACAAGGAGAAGGACAAGGAGAAGGACAAGGACAAGAGCAAAGACAAAGACAAAGGCAAGGACAAGGAGCACAAGAAGAGUAAAGACAAAGAGCACAAGAAGCACAAGGAGCAUAAAAAGCCCAAGGAGCACAAGAAAAAGGGCGGCCACUCAUCCUCUUCCUCCGGGAGCGAUGAUGAUUAGGUUGGAGAACUGGACUGAGGAGAUGAAAGAUGAUUUCCUCACUACGCACAUAUUUAAUGCCUUUCAAUAGAAGCUGCCUGUGCGUAGUUUAUUUUACAGUCAAAUGCAUACAGCUGAUCAUCAGCUUUUCAUAUCUGUUACUUGUGUCUGAUAUAGCCAGAAAAUGCAGAGAUAUCAAGAAAAUAAUUUUAUAAUCGCAUCAACUUACAGUUAAAAACUCACUAUCUAAUGACUGACAGUGUAAGUCUCAUCUUUUCCACCAGGGGGAGGCAGUUGGGUUUGAAAUGAUUCUGUUAAUAAUUUAAACCUAAUAAAAAACACUCACUAAGUAAUACAUACAGGUAACAAGAGGAACUCAUGUAACACAUUGGGAUUUUUCACAAUACUAUGCACAUUUUAAUGUACUAAGAUUUACAGACAGUGUGACAAAGAUGUUUGUUUUUAAUAAAUGAACUUGUAU